Molecule: ribosomal RNA, 432 nt
Filed under: uncultured bacterium
Lineage: Bacteria
Description: partial 16S ribosomal RNA
Rfam family: Bacterial small subunit ribosomal RNA
Source: RNAcentral
ACGAACGCUGGCGGCAUGCCUAACACAUGCAAGUCGCACGAGACCUUCGGGUCUAGUGGCGCACGGGUGCGUAACGCGUGGGAACCUGCCCUUAGGUUCGGAAUAACUCCCCGAAAGGGGUGCUAAUACCGGAUAAUGUCUUCGGACCAAAGAUUUAUCGCCUUUGGAUGGGCCCGCGUUGGUUUAGCUAGUUGGUAGGGUAAAAGCCUACCAAGGCGACGAUCCAUAGCUGGUCUGAGAGGAUGAUCAGCCACACUGGGACUGAGACACGGCCCAGACUCCUACGGGAGGCAGCAGUGGGGAAUAUUGGACAAUGGGCGAAAGCCUGAUCCAGCAAUGCCGCGUGAGUGAUGAAGGCCUGAGGGUUGUAAAGCUCUUUUACCCGGGAUGAUAAUGACAGUACCGGGAGAAUAAGCUCCGGCUAACUCCGUG